GCGGUUGUGGCGGAAUGGCAGACGCGUACGUUUGAGGGGCGUAUGGUAAAUACCGUAUGGGUUCAAGUCCCAUCAACCGCACCA
RNAcentral lists this transfer RNA (84 nucleotides) under Clostridiales bacterium. RNAcentral's name for it is "tRNA-Leu". It matches the Rfam family "tRNA". From Rfam's summary of the family: Transfer RNA (tRNA) molecules are approximately 80 nucleotides in length. Their secondary structure includes four short double-helical elements and three loops (D, anti-codon, and T loops). Further hydrogen bonds mediate the characteristic L-shaped molecular structure. tRNAs have two regions of fundamental functional importance: the anti-codon, which is responsible for specific mRNA codon recognition, and the 3' end, to which the tRNAs corresponding amino acid is attached (by aminoacyl-tRNA synthetases). tRNAs cope with the degeneracy of the genetic code in two manners: having more than one tRNA (with a specific anti-codon) for a particular amino acid; and 'wobble' base-pairing, i.e. permitting non-standard base-pairing at the 3rd anti-codon position. The record is from RNAcentral. Lineage: Bacteria; Bacillati; Bacillota; Clostridia; Eubacteriales.